RNAcentral lists this ribosomal RNA (1445 nucleotides) under uncultured marine cyanobacterium. RNAcentral describes it as "bacterial SSU rRNA". It matches the Rfam family "Bacterial small subunit ribosomal RNA". Lineage: Bacteria; Bacillati; Cyanobacteriota. The record is from RNAcentral.
GAGUUUGAUCAUGGCUCAGGAUGAACGCUGGCGGCGUGCUUAACACAUGCAAGUCGAACGAACCUUCGGGUUAGUGGCGGACGGGUGAGUAACGCGUGGGAAUCUGCCCUCAGGAGGGGGAUAACGGUUGGAAACGACCGCUAAUACCCCAUAUGCCGAGAGGUGAAAUGAAUUUCGCCUGAGGAUGAGCCCGCGUCUGAUUAGCUUGUUGGUGAGGUAAUGGCUCACCAAGGCUUCGAUCAGUAGCUGGUCUGAGAGGAUGAUCAGCCACACUGGGACUGAGACACGGCCCAGACUCCUACGGGAGGCAGCAGUGGGGAAUUUUCCGCAAUGGCGAAAGCCUGACGGAGCAACGCCGCGUGAGGGACGAAGGCCUCUGGGCUGUAAACCUCUUUUCUCAAGGAAGAAGAUAUGACGGUACUUGAGGAAUAAGCCACGGCUAAUUCCGUGCCAGCAGCCGCGGUAAUACGGGAGUGGCAAGCGUUAUCCGGAAUUAUUGGGCGUAAAGCGUCCGCAGGCGGCCUUUCAAGUCUGCUGUUAAAACGUGGAGCUUAACUCCAUCAUGGCAGUGGAAACUGAUUGGCUUGAGUAUGGUAGGGGCAGAGGGAAUUCCCGGUGUAGCGGUGAAAUGCGUAGAUAUCGGGAAGAACACCAGUGGCGAAGGCGCUCUGCUGGGCCAUUACUGACGCUCAUGGACGAAAGCCAGGGGAGCGAAAGGGAUUAGAUACCCCUGUAGUCCUGGCCGUAAACGAUGAACACUAGGUGUCGGGGGAAUCGACCCCUUCGGUGUCGUAGCUAACGCGUUUAAGUGUUCCGCCUGGGGAGUACGCACGCAAGUGUGAAACUCAAAGGAAUUGACGGGGGCCCGCACAAGCGGUGGAGUAUGUGGUUUAAUUCGAUGCAACGCGAAGAACCUUACCAGGGCUUGACAUCCUGCGAACCUUUAAGAAAUUAGAGGGUGCCUUCGGGAACGCAGUGACAGGUGGUGCAUGGCUGUCGUCAGCUCGUGUCGUGAGAUGUUGGGUUAAGUCCCGCAACGAGCGCAACCCACGUUUUUAGUUGCCAGCAUUUAGUUGGGCACUCUAGAAAGACCGCCGGUGAUAAACCGGAGGAAGGUGUGGAUGACGUCAAGUCAUCAUGCCCCUUACGUCCUGGGCUACACACGUACUACAAUGCUACGGACAAAGGGCAGCAAACUCGCGAGAGCUAGCAAAUCCCAUAAACCGUGGCUCAGUUCAGAUCGUAGGCUGCAACUCGCCUACGUGAAGUAGGAAUCGCUAGUAAUCGCAGGUCAGCAUACUGCGGUGAAUACGUUCCCGGGCCUUGUACACACCGCCCGUCACACCAUGGAAGUUGGCCACGCCCGAAGUCGUUACUUUAACCCUUGUGGAGAAGGACGCCGAAGGUGGGGCUGAUGACUGGGGUGAAGUCGUAACAAGGUAACC